This 460-nucleotide ribosomal RNA is filed under the name uncultured bacterium. RNAcentral's name for it is "partial 16S ribosomal RNA". It matches the Rfam family "Bacterial small subunit ribosomal RNA", at positions 338 to 795 of the family's 1533-position model. The record is from RNAcentral.
CCUACGGGAGGCAGCAGUGAGGAAUAUUGGUCAAUGGCCGGAAGGCUGAACCAGCCAUGCCGCGUGAAGGUCAGUGCCCUAUGGGCGUUAAACUUCUUUUGUGCGGGAGCAAUAAUGGUCACGUGUGGCCCGACGAGAGUACCGUACGAAUAAGCCUCGGCUAAAUCCGUGCCAGCAGCCGCGGUAAUACGGGGGAUGCACGCGUUAGCCGGAUUUAUUGGGUUUAAAGGGUGCGUAGGCUGUGCGGUAAGUCAGCGGUGAAAUGCCCCCGCGCAACGGGGUGAAGUGCCAUUGAUACUGGCUUGCGGGAAUGCGGAUGCGGUAGGAGGAAUGUGUGGUGUAGCGGUGAAAUGCAUAGAUAUCACACAGAACACCGAUUGCGAAGGCAUCUCACGAAUCCGCGAUUGACGCUGAUGCACGAAAGCGUGGGUAUCAAACAGGAUUAGAUACCCCUGUAGUC